AUCAGAUAAAAUAUCACAAUAUUAUAGUAGAUCAGCAUCUGGUAAUGACUUGAAUUUUGAAAGACUGACAAAGCGCAUGGCCCGAAGCAGCCGGGCAUACCUCAUUCAGAGCAACUCUUCUCAGAGCUGAUUGCUCCUCUCAAAUGUUUUCUGGCAGAUUAAGCAGGUAGGGUUUCUUUUUUUAACUCUUCUAGAACUGUCCAUGCCACUGGAAAAACACUGGCAAUGUUCCUUUUGAGCCUGGCAACAAAAACAAAUGAUGUAUCUAAAAGUAAAAGCUUAUCUCAGCAGUUAUCUCAAAUUGAUCAGUUUUAUUAAACUCAAAUCAGUUUUAUUAAAAAAAAUAUCCCAGCAGUAGGCAGAGCUUUCAUUUCCAUCUGUAUAUUCUGUGCAUGGCAUUGACUUUUUAUUCUUCUUAUUUUUCUUACUAGCAAGGGAAGAUUGGCAGGUUAUUGGAAACUGCUCUCUGGGAACACCUUCCCAUUUGACCAUGGAUGGCUGGUAAACCAAGCUAUUCCUCUCAGCCUUGCAUGAGUCCUAACCUAACAAAACCAGAUAGAGCCAAGUUGAAAGAAGCAAAUUUCACAAAGUAGCAACUGAACAAACCUGUGUGUUAGAGUGGAGUUUAGCAGCUUUCUUUUUCUCUUAGAUUACUCUUUGUUAGAGACCAGUGAUGUCUUCAUUUAAUUGUCUCAGCUUACCAGGUGCUGUGAAGGCGUGGAGUGUUGUAUUUGUGAGCGGGGCCAAGGUACAGAAGGGCUGCAGUAGAUACAUGUACAACCCACAGUCUCCCCCCUUGUUGGCAGCUCCUCCCACAGCAGGGCCCAGCUCCUUCUCAGAGGGAUCAGGGAUCAUCUGAUCUUGCCUGCCGCAGUUGGAGUAGGCUAUCACUUGCAGGGAAUUGGACCAGUGGCUUCAUCUAUGAAAAAGGGAUCUGUUUGCUCUCUUGUUCCUCAAAUUGUAUGGUGCUCUUUGCUGUGCAAAGGGUGGAAGCAUUGAACUCUGUCCAAGCAGUGUUAAAUGAAACUUUCAUGAUCACGAAUGAGAUGAAAUAACUGCCCACUGCAUUUAGAAAUACUUUGCUUUUGUGAAAAUGAUGUUUCUCAAAACAUCUGUCACUUGCCUUAAUGUGGCCUGCCAUAACAAAAUACCAUUGACCUGGUGGCUUAAGCAACAAAAUUUAUUUUUUCACAGUUCUGGGGACUUGAAGCCCAACAUCAGAGUGCCAGCAUGUUGGUUCUGAUGAGAUAGACAGCUGUCACCCUGCUGUGUGCUUACAUGACAUCCUCCUGUGUGUAAGUGCUGGGAGCAAGCCAGCUCUUUUAUGCCUCCUUUAUAAUUAUACAAAUCUCAUCCUAAGGGAUCCACCAUCAUGACCUCAUCUAACCUAAUUACUCUCCAAAGGUCAUAUCUCUAAAUAACCAUCAUAUUAGCGGUUAAGACUUUAACAAAUGUAUUUUUAGGUGAUACAAUUCAGUCCUUAGCCUGACCCAAUAGUAUUAUUUUGGCGAAGUUAGUAAGGUUGAGACAAAAAGAACCAGACCCAGUCUUCAAAAAGGUUCCCAACACAUAUGCAGUAGUAAUAAUAUGUAAAAGGUUGACCUGAAGAAUAUCAGUAGUUCAGUCUCUAAUGGGACAAAUGCCAGCUGAGUCUUGCUAGCCAUGUUCUUUAUCUUUUCAGCCACACCACACUCAGUCAGCCCUGCCAUCUCUUCAUUUAGGCUUUUAGAGGAAGCAGUCAAUCCUAAGAGAGAGUGUUUGUGCUGGGAAUUAAAUGAAAAAAUACAAGUUUUAGGAUACCAAUGCUGUCAACGCUUUUUUGUACUUUACACUUCCUACCUUGCAGUAACAUGGAUUAAUCACUGAUUACCAAAUAAUAAAAUUAAUCCACAAGGGAUGAUUUCAUUCAGCCCGGAAAUGUUCAGUUAUAUUCUGAAAACCAACGUUGGAAAAAUAACUGAUUUUCAAAGAUAUCUAAUGACCCAAGUAGAAAGUACAAAGGAGUUUGUGGAAAAUCAUGGGUUAAUUACACAAUCCUGUAUCGGAGCAUUCUAUUUUGUAUAAUGUUUCCCUUCACAUAAUUCAUCACUGAAUGCUUUGGGGAGAUGGACUGGGAUUUACAUUUUACUAUUGAAAUAUUGAGCUUCUUCAAGGUCAUGCGGUGAAAUCUAGAUGAUAAAUUUAAACAUGAAUUGCACAAUAUUGAAAGUUGAAAAUGCCUUUCCCAGUGGUUUUUUGUUUUGUUUUUGCAUUUUAGUUGUUUAGCCUAACAGGGACAAUCAAAAAAGCCUGUGUUAUUGUUUUAACUUGUCAUUUUGUAGUCUGGGCCAUGAAGAGCAGUGCUGGCCAUGUUAAAAAGAAAGACAUAUUACUGUCUGAGUUACGGUAGGCAACUUAGGUAAAAUGCUACUGAGGCAAUUUCAGUUUCCAAAUUGAAAACAUUUCCAUUACUGCUUGAAGACACAUUAAGACGUAUUACAUAAAUAGUGAUAGCGAUAAGGCAAUCAGCCGAAUUAUUUUCUGUUUGCACUUUCAUCCCUCAUCCUUUCAUCAGAACCUUCUUCUUGAAGGUUAAAAGAUGGUGCAGCCAGUCGUGAUAGAGCCAUCUGAAGUCUGGUCUGAACAUUGAUUCUUCUUGAGUACUGUUGUAUGCAUAGUACUAAUGUAAUUGCGUGCAGAAUAAGCCUUCCUAAUUUAAGACUGUGGCUUGAACGUUUUGUUACCACCCUCCCAUGUUGGAUUUAUGAAGUGCUGAUCUCUUGGGAAUCACGGUGGGAAACAGUCCGAGGAGUACUCGAAGACUGGGAGGCAGUAGAGGUAUGGCACUCCUGUCAAGGAGGGCAAGAAUCAUCAACCUCGGAAAUGCAUGGGCACAUUCCAACGACUGCAUCUGUUGCUCUUCUGUAUAUAACUUGUGUUGAAGUUUUAGGUGACAGCAAAAAUUCCUGUUAGUUACCUUUCCAAUUAUAUUUGAAUCUUACACACUGCCAAGGGUAAUAUCUGAGCUUGCCUUUGUUAAAUAUAUACCCCAAAUCUAAAUUUGGCACAUUUCAAGGUUCUCAAAUUAGAAAAGAUUAGCCUUCAUGUGUGUCAAUUCUUGCUACAUGUUCAUGGGAAGUUAUUUAACUUUUGACUUCAACUUUCUCAGUCUAAAGGCAACUCCCCACACCAAUCAAACCACAUGUCUUGGUAUGUGCUUUCAAAGAUAGUUUAGUUCUCUCUGGUCUGUUGUAGGCAUUGCAAACAGAAAGUUGCUAAUUUCUAGAAGCCCUGAAGGGAAGGUACUGGUGUCAGAAGCUUAGUGACGGAGCCCGGAGGGAAACUUUUCUGUCGUUCUCUCGUGGCCUGAAGAGUGGGCCUUGGACCUUGCUGACUUUUCCAUAAUAAAACCCACCAACCAAUGAACCAAUCAAUAACAUAAAUUAAAAAUUAAAACCUUGAAAAUAUUAUUUUUAUUCCUACUCAUUUCUCGGCUUAAUUCUAUAUAUUUAUCAGAAAACUUGGUCAUUAUGUAAUGGAGUAUAACAAUUGUUGGAUAAAUUAUUGCUGUAAAAACAUUAUAAAAGUACAUACGUAAGUAGAUUUCUAAGGAACUGCUUUGUUGGAAAUGAAAAAUUGUUAAAUAUAAAAAAUGAUUAGUGGAGAAAAACCAUCUGAAAAAAAUGGUAGUUUAGCUGAGUAAUGAAUGUUAAGAUUAACAUAUUCCGCAAAUUUAUCAAUACUAUGGCUUGGCAUGUCCUUAUUCCUUUCCAAAAUUAAUAGUGACAGAAACCAAGACCCUAUUAAUAUUUUAAUAGUCUAAUAGACACAGGCAAGUAUGCAGCUGAGAAGAAUGUAAAUCAGUGGCCAGGGCUCUGGGCUCUCUGGGAGAGUUUGCCAAGUGGGUGAAUUAAGUCCUCCUACUGUGUUCUUAACUUCUUCCAGGGCUCCUCCUCAUGCCAGCAUCCACUUUUGUCAGUUGUUUAAUUUUGAAUACAAGAAUGUGUUUACAAGGCAAAAUUUACCAGAGUACUUAGGAUCCUUCACACCCACCUUGUGUUUUUAAGAACCAGUAGUGUUCACGUCCAUGUGUCUCCUUCAAUGCCGUAUCACCUGGAAUAUGGUGGGUGCUUUCAGAAUGCGUGUGUGUAUGGGAAUUUAAAGGAAUAGCUUUCCUGUGAUUAUAGCUUGAGUAUCUCCUUGUUCUAAUCAUUUCCAAAUUCAUUCUCAAUAGAAAGGAUAUCAUAUGCAUAUGAGAUACUUUAAAGUAUAAAACUGAAUGAAAGAAGGAAAGAAAAACUAACACAUGUAUGUAGUGUGGUUCCUGGGCCAUGAUAGGUCCUCAAUAGUGUUAGCUUCCUUUUGAUUUUGCUUCUGAGGCCUUUGCCACUGGGACUUUGCAUGUGGCACACAGUAUUUCCUACAGCUGCUCCAAGUACCUCAGAGCUUUCAGCUGAAGACAUAUUAAUAGUUUCCUCUUGUAAGAAUAUGCACGUAUGAUUUGAAUACAAAUGGGGUUGUUCUUCAGUGGAGGAGGAUCCCUUUUUGGGUACUUUCUUUUGGUGGUUUUGAAGGAUCAUUUGUUGGAGACCACACAGAACCAAAGAGGCCACACUACAGUAUAUUUAGAUACUUAGUUGGAAUUUCAAAUCUAAAUGUCACAACUGAUCUCUGGUGCAAGGGGUGGAGGAAGAAGCUAGUGGAAACGAGACACUAUUCCAGAAAAAAGGGAAGGGGGCUUUUGUCAAUCAGUGUUUUCACUCCAAGACGACUACCCUCAAAUUAGAUUUGGUAGCAGCUGCUGGAAUCCAAAGAAGAGCACACUUUGUUUUUAGGGGCCCUGAUUUGUAUGCAUGUCCUUCUCCAACGUGUAGCACAGGCUUCUUGAUGACAGAUCUGUGCCACUUGUUUUUAUGUGCCUGACACACAGUAGGUGCUGAGCAAAAGUUUGCUCAGCAAUAUAGUGUUCUCUUUUAUUAAAGGCAGUGAAAUAACUUGAAAUCAGUAGGAAGCUUUUGAUGUACAAGAUACUAACAAAAACAAGAAGUGCUUAUAUUUUGUUUGCAUGCUUUAAGAUGUGGAAAGCUACAUCUUAGUAAAAUAAAUGUUUAAUAUAUGUUGGUAAAAAAUAACCUGCUUGGUGAUGGUGAUGGGACAACCAUGUUGGAGGCAGCUUCCUGAGGUAUAAUAAGAGCCCUGGACUCGGGAUUUAUGAACCAGAGAACCAUGCUGUGGUUUCCAGAGACUUUUGCUUUUCGGGACCUAGUUUUCCCAUCACAUUGAAGAGACGGGCUGAGGUACUCUUACAGGAAUUUCAGGUCAUUUGGUCCUGAAACCGUAUCACCUAUCGGCAUGAUCCUGUUAGGUUCUGCCUGGCACUGCCAGAAAGCCCGAUCUCACUAGCCCCAUACAAAGUACUUGAACAUUCCUGGCACCCUGUUCACUUUUUUAAAACAUGAAUUUACCCAUAUUUUUAAACACUUCUGUGCAGUACGUACAAUUACAUUUAUUGUGAGGAGCUGGUACAUGUCUUUCCUGAUGCCCUGUUCCGAUUUGGAAUCCUCUAGAUGCUUUUUCUAGUCUCCCUAUUUUGUGCUUCUCACUCUCUUCCUCCAGGCUUGCAGCUUUUGCCUGCAGCUUCACAGUGGUUCAGAUAUGGUGUGGUCUUUUUCACCUCCCCACUGCCCACUGGGGAGGAGUCCUUGCAAGUCUCUGUCCUCUCCAGCCCACCUCGUCUCCAUUUGGCCCCAGCAAGAAUUUAAAGUCUUCUAAGGCAUUUUGCCCUGUCUGAAUUUUGGGGUGAAAGCUAUGCUGCUGUAAAGCUCUGAGGCCUUUUUGCUAGCACCAAUUCACCUCCAUGUAUUUUUUCAGAACUCUCCCACCUUUACUACGUAGUGCUAAGGAUUAUUUGUUGAAUGUUUUCUCCAUGCGAUGUAUGUGAGAGGCAUUUACUUAUGUAGCUGUUUGCUUAUAAGUCUAACCCUUCGAGCUAUUCUUGAAAGGUAGAUGCAUUAAUUUUAGAGAUGAAGAAGUAUUCUCAGAUUGUCUAAGUAACUUGCCCAAACUGUCUGACUGAAGCUUUAGGCUAGUGUGAUUUCCACGUAUCAUGUUAUAUAUAGCAUAUAUAGGUCCUUAUCCAUUCUUUGUAUAACCUUUUUUGUUUGUGUAACCUUUUUUUUUAGAAACAAUACUAUAUAACUGAUAAACAGUUCACCACACUUUAAGACAUAUUAUUUUAUUUUUUCUUGUAUUCUCUUCUACUUUUUAUAUUCACACAUAUUUUAAAAAGUAUAAUAGGUACACAUUCUGAAAAUACUGAUUCUUUAAGCAUUCUUUGUUAUUGUCUCUCGUGUUGUCAUUUUAAUAACUAUGUUUUUCACCAGAGUUAUCAGAGUUACUUUUAUUAGCAAGUGAGAAGGGCAUGGGGUAGGGGAACAGUAUGGAAUAGCAACUAUGGUAAAUGGGGAACAAUUUAAUGGGGAGCAAAUCCUUCUCCAUCAAUGUGCCUGUAUUGUUUAGACAGUCCGCAGCAGAUGUUAUCCUGCCUCAGGAAUGCUGCGAUUAUGAGCUUUGUCAACACAUGCAGCCUUUCACAUACUUUUCUGUUCCUAAAGCAAGGUCACACCAGCCUUCAGACCAUGGGACAACUGUCAUGCUCCCUGGUCCCCAGCCUAGUAAAAUACUAUUUUAUACUCCUUGGUCUUCAGUGUGUUUCAGUUCACUGGUAUUACUGUCUUUGCAGAUCAUGACUGAAACACACACCUGGAUUUUGCUUUUAUACUCUUAGUUCAGGGCAGUUUAAAUGAAGUCUCCCUUUUUGGAGUAUAAAUGUGGAAGGCCGUUUUAAAUCACUGAGGUCGAAUGAGUCUGAUUCCAUCACAGAGGUUCCCAAGGAAGCCACCACUGGAGCAGGGGAUAAGGCGCCCUCCUCAGCCCUGUGACCUGUGCCUACUUGUGUUCUAGGUGGUGGUCGAGGCUUCUCUUCAUGGCCACAAAUCCCAAGUGUCCCAUCAACAAAGCAAAGGGAUUCCAGAAUGACCCAGGAAUUAAGAGAAGUAGGGCAGUUUUCAUUUCCCUCUGAGUCCUGGAAAGUACAAUUCACACAGCUUUCCCUUUAGAUCACUGUGCAAGUUAGAUCUUCUAUGUCUGCUUUGCCUGACUGCAAAGUCACAGCAUUGUCACAUUAUGUUGGUAAAGUCCUACGGUCCCUAGGCAGGAAGAUGGAAGAUCUCUCGGCAGCCUCCUCUGCCUGCUUUAAAACUGCAAGUGUUAAAUUCAGGUUCCAUUAUUUUUUCAAAUAUACGACAGAGACAGUUCUGAGAUUGUGUUAAUGAGAACGUGGACGGAGAUGGUGCCUCAGGACAGCUUCAGAGAGAGGAGAGCUGUGAAGUGCUUUAUUUAACAGGGUAACCUUUCUUUUGGGACUAGAUUCAAGUAUCAAAUUUCCUCUUUUAUCUCAUUAGACAGAGUCUGUAAUAGAGACUUUGAAUUUUGACUUUGAGCUGUAGGAUUACAGAGACUUUCCUCUUUCUUUUAACUUCUGGUCAUUCAUUUGUUUUAUCUAUUACCAGUGCAUGGUAUGGGCAUCAUCACUGGAAGAUCAGUUACAGAAAAUGAGCCCUUGAAAAUGGAAAAAAGUCUUAACAUUCAAUUGUCUAGUUCUAUGUCCUUGAUUCAAAUUAUUUUACCCUUUGAUCUUGGCCCAAUUUAAGUGUGACUGUUAAUCAUUUUUCUUUAUUUCUCUUAAGAAAGGAUUUUGCCAUUCUCAUCUGUUACUGAGAAUCAUGUUUUUUGUUUAUACCUGUCCCCAGGUAUGCCUCUUUGGGCAUAGAAAGCGGUUCUUUUUUUAAAAAAAUUUUUAUAAGUUUGUAAACUGACACUGUUUGUAGCAUUGUUUCUUUUGUUAUCAGGUUCUUGUUGUUUUUGAUGGUUCUAUAACGUGUGCAGACCAAGUAUAGGUAAUAGAGUAAAUGUAGUACAAGCGAUGCAUGUGACACAGUAUUGGAAAACUGUCAUAAAUGAGAGAAGACACUACACCUUCUGUCUUUUCAUUUUGAAUAAUAAUAAAAAAGAGAUUAAAAGGAGGGUGAUAUUUUGGCUCUGUGUUUAUAUAAAGAGCUACAGCAGUUCUCAAGAUGUCUACACAUAUUCUUGUUCUGUAUUUUUCUAGGAGUAAGAAAACCUAGGUUAGGAGGAAUAGUAUAUUAGACUAGCCAUAUUCUUUAAUAAUUUUCCUUGUACAGGAACUAAAGAUCCUGAGAUUUUUCUAGAUCAAAUGACUUACCUGCUAAGUCUAGUUAAGUUUUUCCCCGUAUUUCUGUUUUGUUAAAUUUGGUCAGAAUUGUGCAAGAAUGGCAAACAUCUGCCUGAGGAACUAUUAAACUAAUUUUCACUUGCAGUUUUUAAACUUUCAUGGUUCAUUUUUAAUUUUGUAACAAAUCUUAGUUUGAUCUUCAGCUUUGUCUCUGAAUACAAUUAUUGUUUAAAUACCAAAAUAUUUGAAAUGUUAAAGCUCUUUUUUUUUUUUUGUCUUUUUCCUUUUUAUGGGUACCGGGGAUUGAACUCAUGACAGCCUGCUUGCAAGGCAGGCGCUUAUGCCGCUGAGCUAAAUCCCCAGCCCCCUGUUAAAGCUCUUUUAACAGGAUGCUCUCCACCCUAAAAUGCCAGCUCCAUUACAUGUUUUACCUGAGUUUCCACCAGCAUUUAAUGUGUAUUAUACGUAUGUGCAUACACCUAUAAUACAUAUACUUACAGCAAUCAUGGAGGGUGAGAAUGAUUUACAUACAGAUGUAGAAGGUGAUGUUUCCCACUUCAGCCACAAUCCUGUUGCUCCUCAGACUUUCUAGGUACAAGAUUUGAAUAAUUUCGUCCCUACAGUUGAGAAUCUGUUUCUGACUUGAGACUUCAUGUAGAUAGCUCUUCGCUGGAAGAGCAAACUGUCCCUUCUACUCUCCCAGGUGCUUAUCCAGAGCUUCAUCCUUUUGUUUCAGUGUUUUUUGUGCACUGAAUCUUUAUCUUCUGGCUUUCUUUCUACCUGUGGCAGGAACCUCUGUGUAGUCACGUGCAAUUUUCUCUGUUUACCAUCUUAAAUUGUGUACUCCAGUCCUUCCUGAGAAAGUCUACAAUCUGUAAACUGGGAGAUUGCUAUGGUCUUGCUAGCAGUGUUCAACCUGCAUUAUUGCUCAGGCUGUUCUGGCUUUUAAGUAAAUAAGAGAGUACAUUUCUAUAUGUAUGGAUGGAGUUAAAAUAUAAAAGCUUGACUAUCGGACAUGAAUCAGAUGUGCUCUGCAGACUAAUCCAUUAUUCAAAUAUAUCUGGAACUACAUGAAUUAAUCUUAAUCAUGUCUAUUCUUUGAAAAAAUUAACAGUUAAAAAUUGCAUAUCUCAUUAUUAAAAAUGAUUUUGGAGCUGAGAUGCAAUCUCCUAAAUGAAGGAAUAAAAAUAAGAGCAGGACAAGCCAGCAAACCAUUUUUCUUCCUAAACACUUGAAAUAAAUGAAGAUCAAGAAAUGCUAGACAUCGUUACAUAAAUCAGGGAUCUUAUGACAUUUCUAAUAUUUUAUUAACAAAAUUUUGAUUUGAUUUAUCUAUUUAAAAUAACUAGCAAGGCAUUGUCUAAGUGCUAAAACAUAAAUUACAAGCGUGAAACUUUGAUUUAUGCUAAUGGUGGAUGAUACGGGGAUGUGACGAGUGAUCAGACCGCAGUGCUGUUGGUGAGGCUGGAGGCACAGGAACGUGUGGAGGAAAGUGCUGCCCUGGGCCCCGUUGCCUGAUAUGUAGAUGACGGCUGUCUUCCGCGAAAUGAUAUAAUUGUGAUGAUGGGACCUUUUGCUUCUAUGUCAGACAUCUCCAACUUUUAGUGAAAUCCGCUUGACAGUUCCAAAUACCUCCAUGUCUCUCUGAUGAAUCAGAAACAUGCAUAUUCUACAAGGAGAGUGUGGAAGUUGACAAAAGAAAACUCUCUACUUAGGUAAAUACCAGGUCUCUCUGUUAAAUGCAGCUGCGUCAAAGAAUCCUUCCCCAAUCUCCUUACCCAUUGUCCUGUUUAUUUCGUGCACUUUGUACCCUUUAUGACUCAUUUUUAGUGUUCACUUAAUUUAUUGUUUGUCUCUAAAACUGAUGUCUUGUGCAUAGGUACAAAAUCUGUUUUAUUAAUUGCAAUAACAGUGCACUUCCUGGCACAAUGUAAGCACUCAAAAAUUUCUACGUUCUAGAAUAAAUUAUAAGAUUGCAUUUGGAAAAACACACUCUUUAAUUUUUAAUUUUUGAUUAGUACAUGUUUACAGUACCAAUUUGUUGUAGGACAUUGCUGCGUGUAUAUAACACACCUCAAUUCUUUUCUCAUCCCCCUCCUGCCUCACCCUACCUUUUCCUCUAUCUUUUGAUUAUCUUCCCAUUUGAGAAAGACCCAUCUCCUUCCUCUUACCAUCUUUUAUUUUGCUCUUUAUUUAUAUUAUGGAUUUAUUUAAUUUUAAAGAGUAUAUAAAACACUGUUUUAAAUGUCUGUGCCCAGAAGCCUGACAGAUAUCCUUUCAGAUGCUGGGUUGUAUUCUCUUUCUAAUAAGCUUCUUCCGUGCGGUUGGACUCUUGUGUUCUGAGUUCCCAGGCCUCUCUCCCAGAGCCCUUAGCCUUCUUGGUGCGCAGCGGCCCCCUGCCAGUGCUCUGCUGAAGGGUGCUGUUGAACAUGUGAGCGCAUGUGUCCCAGAGCCCUGGAAGCUGCACCUCAGUCUUCCCCACUCAGUAAGUUCUCCCAGGGUGUAAGUGAGUGUAUGGCUUUACUGGAGUCACUCUGAAUCUAUUUCUAAUUUAUAUUACAAGUCAAAUGGAAACCAACUAUGAAUUUUUGUUUUUUUCUCUUUUUUUGGUAGUGAUGAAUUACUUAUCAUAUACUUCACAACCAGUCAAGACAACUAAGUAUGCCAUAAUAUGAGAUUUUUUGAACUGACAUUUGAAAAACUGGUUUCAAAUUUCUGGGAAGAAUUUUGUUGUUUGUAUAACUUUGGAGGAAAAAGUAAAUGCUCGUAGUCAAGAGUGCAGGGUGCCAAACUAUGGGAAAGGACCUCAUGGAAAUAGUAAUUGCAGUGAAGCCUACAUUGAUAUUUGUUAGGUAUUACUUCAGAAGUUCUCUCUUGAUAGACAUAAAAUGCUUAUUACAUAGCUGAUCCAUAUGAAACACAAAUACUAAACAUCUUUGGCCUAAAAAUGCAAUUUCAUGUCAUUCAAAUGAAUUAACUUAUUAAUACUUUCUAUCAUUCACCUAAAAUACACAUGGAAAUUAUUUAUAAGCUCUUGAAGAAAGGAGAAAAGCAGCAUAAUAGUGAAUCUUUCGGUGUCUCAGUGUCUUCUUUUUCAAGACAAGUCAACAAUCAAUGAGCCUUGGAGUCUUGCUGGUAUAUUCUUAGCCUAAUGCGGGGUCACAUGCUAUUUGGAAGAUGAGCUCUAGAUCAUAAGAAGUUACAAGUUAGAUGUAAGAAUAAGAUACAUGGAGGAAAUAAAAUGACUUAAGUGUGUUAGAUUAUUGCAACCCUAACAGAUAAUGAAGAAUAACAUUUCUCCUACUAUGAUUCAUACUGUGGCUUACCAUUUAUGCAUUUCCAAAAUAACUUUAUUUCAAAAAAUAAUUUUUCAUUUAUAGAAAAGUUGCAAUGACAGAAUAGAAUUCCCAUAUACUUUUCACUCAGCCUACUGUGACAUUAACAUCUUACAUAGUGACAGCAUAUUAAAACUAAGGUAUUAAUAUAGGUAUAUUAUUAUUGACUAGAGAUUUUAUUUAGAUUUUAGAAGUUUUUUCACUUUAUGUGUCUUUUAUUAUAUUACUUUUAACAUAUAUAUUUUAAUAAUGGAUAAAAUAUGUAGAUGAGAGGGAAAACAUUUUACCUGUACUUGUCUAUAGGUAAUGUUUAGGAACAGGCUUUCCUAGCAUGCAUGAGGUCCUGGGUACAACAUCCCCGCACAUAUGCAUUCCCACACUAACACACAUUCAUAAACACCAUGCACAUUUUAGUAUCAGACUGCUUAACAAUUUUUUUUUUUUUUUUUUGAGACGGGGCUUUGCUAUGCAAUUCAGGUUGGCUUGAACUCACCUUGUAGCCCAGGCUGACCUUAGACUUGCAGUGAUCCUCUGGCCUCAGCCUCCUGAGCGCUGGGUGCUUAACUGUUUCUGUACCCUAUUUUUGAUUAUUUAGAAAUCACAAAUAUUCCCCAUGUGGUGUAGUAUUUGAAAAUACUUUUAAUGGGCUGGGGAUUUAGCUCAGCAGCAUAAGUACCUGCCUUGCAAGCAGGCAGUCAUGAGUUUGAUCCCCGGUACCAGUAAAAACGAAAAAGACAAAAAAAAAAAAAAAAAAAAAAAAAAAAGAAAAAGAAAAAACGAAAAUACUUUUAAAGUAUGUAUAUUUUUUGUUUGUGUAUAUGCAUAUGUUUGGUUGACAUUAUCAGAUUAUUUAAUGCUUGCUUUAACUUUUUCUUCUUAUAAAGGACACUGUAGUGAUUUUCAGUACACAUGAGUUUUGGGCAGUUUUCUUAUUUCUAUAAUUAGAUUACAAGGAUAUCUAGGUAAAGAUUCAAGGAUUUUUUCCUUUCAUUUUAUUUUCUAUUCAAGAGUAACACACCAAACUACCCUGAAAUCUCUAAAAUAAAAUAUGAAAAUGCCAUGCUCUGGAGACUCAUUUUCCUAAGGAAAAGAACAUUUUAUGAGGUCUUUUUAACCUGAACCAGUAAAACUGAAAUGGUUUGCAGUGCAUCCAUGUGAAAGGGACUUGAAGCUCAAGCUUUGCAUUGGUGCUCAUUCCACUCUUGGGAAGACAAGGCAGCCCCAUUAUCUUUUGAUUUGUAAUUAUUUUCAUGAUUGUGCUCUCCUUUGUUACAAUGAAAAGUCAUUACUAGGUAACAGAUGUCAACACACUGGUGGUCCCUGCCCACCAGCGUAGAUAAUUCAUUGUUUCCUGGGACCCAUUCCUGGAGGGCCAUGCGCUUGAGCUGCAGUCAGCAGAUUCUCCUGUUAGCUAUGAGGCAGAACCAAGGAAGCCUCUGGGAUCCCAGGCUCCCGAGCCACAAGCCGCCAUGACUGGAUCCUGGCUCAGUGCCGAUGGAAAGGCUUACUUCUAGCAAAGCACAGAUGUGGAUAAUGGGUAAGUAUGGCUUCUAGAGUUAGACAGUCCUGGGCUUAAAUCUGGAUCCAGUAUCUACAGAAAGGUUUUGAUUUUAAGUAAGUAACCAAACCCCUGAGUCUGAGCUUUCUCGACUAUAAACAUGAGACUGCUAUACAGGCUUUUAUGUCAUUUGAAUAAAAUGUGAAUCUGUACAGUGCCUGUCACAUGAUGCUGCACCAUUGGAUAAAAACCUAUUCAGUGAAGGAUGGAUGGAUGAGUGACCCAUCGACCUGGUUGAACAUGGUUCCAAAAAACAUUCUGGCUAGAAUUUAUUGAUUCAGAUCUUAAAAUUGGCCUGAUAUCAAAUGGGUCAUCGUGAUCAAGAAUGCAGCAGGACCAUGUAUUACAAGCCUAACUACUGGGAAGUUUUCUGUAUCAGGAGCAAUUUUCAGGCCAAGAGAAUGUUUACAAGUAAUAAAAUUUUAAGACUUUAAGGGUCAUUGACAGAUAAUAAACACAUAUUUAGAGUUGGCCAUGCUGAGACUGGGAGGAGCCAAACAAUGAGGCAACUAGCCAGCCUUUCUGGUAAAGCCUUGCAAGCCAUGUGGGGUCCAGAAAGAGAAAACUCAGUGCCCCUCAUGAGCCUACCAGUGUGCAGGCUGAAAAUCAACCGCAAAAUCCCCCUCCCUGUAAGCAACUGGCUGGUUCAGAGCACAGGCUGAGUUGAUAGCAACUAAGGUACAAAAACAACUAAAUGCUUGUGUUGUUUGGUUGAUUUUGCAGGCCUGGGGCCAGCAGACAGUAUGCAAUAUAGCAAAUAUGGGAGAUUUCCUUCUGUCUGUCGUUGAAAUCCAGUAUUGUUCUCACUCUUUUGCUUUGUUCUGAUUGUUUUGCUUCAAUUCAAUAUUCUGUUUUGAUUGGUUUUAUUGUUUCGUUUUUGGUUUGAUUUUGCUAUUCUUGAUGGAAUGGACAACUAUUGUGAAGAUAACAAGAUAGAGACUAUGGGUAGCUACUGUUGUUUUCCUAAAAUCCUGCUUUGAAGUUCUGUACCAAUUUUGCUGCUUUGUUGAUUGGCUUUGUUCUGUUUUGAUUUGUUGAAUUUUAUUAUCUUUAAAAUAAAAAAUGAAAACCCCCCACA
Molecule: long non-coding RNA, 14204 nt
Organism: Cavia porcellus (domestic guinea pig)
Lineage: Eukaryota; Metazoa; Chordata; Mammalia; Rodentia; Caviidae
Exons: 3
Source: RefSeq, a predicted model, not a curated record